Molecule: long non-coding RNA, 680 nt
Filed under: Brassica napus (rape)
Lineage: Eukaryota; Viridiplantae; Streptophyta; Magnoliopsida; Brassicales; Brassicaceae
Description: long non-coding RNA (BNAP_LNC025885)
Source: RNAcentral
UCGGUUCUUGGCAAAAUGUUUUAUCUAGUACUAGUAUAUGCUAAAAGCACAUGUCGACGAUGUCGUAUAACUGGCAAGAUAUUUUAAGACAAUAAAUGUGAAAAGAAAGUGACGUCGAUAAAUAAAAGUACAAUGAUGUUAAUCUUUUUUUUUUAAAGAUUCAUUAUGUGUUUGUCGGAUAUAAAUAUCUUGAUAUUCCAAGAUAUCAAAUCCACUAAAACUAAACGAGAAAACAAAGAAAAAAAAUGGUUGCUACAUUAGAAAAGAACUAAUGUUUGAUCAAAAAAAAAAAAAAAAGGAAAGAAGGAUUUAAUAAAAAGCAAAUCUCCAAAAUAGCAUAUUUCUAAGUUUAUGUCACAAAAAUAUCACUCAAAAACUAAAAUGACCAAAAUAACGUUUUAUCUUUUGAAAAAUUUAAUUUUUUUUAUUUUUCAAAAUUUGAAAUCUUAUCCCAAAACCCCACUCCCAACCCUAAACUCUAAACCCUAAACCCUAAACUCUAAACCCUAAACCCUAAAUCAUAAACCUUAAAUCCUAAACCCCACCUUUUAACUCUAAACCUUAAACCCUAAACCCCACCCCUAAACUCUAAACCCUAAACCCUAAACUCUAAACCCUAGACUCUAAACCCUAAACCCUAAAUCCUAAAUCCUAAACCCCACCCCUUAACUCUAAACCCU